Molecule: long non-coding RNA, 387 nt
Organism: Chelonia mydas (Green sea turtle)
Lineage: Eukaryota; Metazoa; Chordata; Testudines; Cheloniidae
Exons: 3
Source: RefSeq, a predicted model, not a curated record
AGCAACUUCUUUCAGAAUCAUUCUUUUAAUUCCUCCUUUAAAUUCCUGGCUAGGAAAAUGGCUGUGAGAUCCAGAAAGAGAAGACAAACAUAGUUGUCAUAAUCCCUUGGGUGAAUGAACUACCUGAGUGAACUUUUUAGGUAUUUUGAGAAAACACGUAGUGUUCUGAGAGGCUGAACUGGAGAACACGCCUUCAUGCCACUUGGAAUGGAGAAGUAAAAAGCUACACACGUUAUGUUUACUCACAAUGCAAAAGUUUCACCGCUGAUGACUGGGGACCAACUGGCUAAGCAGAAAAGGACCUGGGGAUUACAGUGAAGGAGAAGCUGGAUAUGAGUCAGCUGUGUUACUGAAGUAAAAAGCUACACGCUAUGUUUACUCAGAAUG